RNAcentral lists this ribosomal RNA (592 nucleotides) under Blastocystis sp. RNAcentral describes it as "SSU rRNA". It matches the Rfam family "Eukaryotic small subunit ribosomal RNA", at positions 1 to 600 of the family's 1831-position model. The record is from RNAcentral. Lineage: Eukaryota; Bigyra; Opalinata; Blastocystidae.
ACAUUUCUAUUAUAUCUGGUUUCUCCUUACAGUAGUCAUACUCUCGUCUCAAAGAUUAAGCCAUGCAUGUGUAAGUAUAAAUAUUUUACUUUGAAACUGCGAAUGGCUCAUUAUAUCAGUUAUAGUUUAUUUGAUGAAAUGUAUUACUUGGAUAUCCGUAGUAAUUCUAGAGUUAAUACAUGAUCAAUUCCUCGACUUAGAAGAGGUGUAUUUAUUAGAAUGAAAACCAAUAGACUCAGUCUAUUGGGGAGUAAUAAUAACUUGUCAUAUCGCAUGUUUAGGUAGCGAUGUUUCUUUUAAGUUUCUCCCCUAUCAGCUUUCGAGGGUAGUGUAUGGGACUCCCAGGCCAGUAACGGGUAACGAAGAAUUGGGUUUCGAUUUCGGAGAGGGACCCUGAGAGACGGCUCCCACAUCCAAGGAAGCCAGCAGGCGCGUAAAUUACCCAAUCCUGACACAGGGAGGUAGUGACAAUAAAUCACAAUGCGGAACUUUAGUUUUGCAAUUGGAUUGAGAACACGCACAACAGUUAUCGAUAAACAAUUGGAGGGCAAGUCUGGUGCCAGCAGCCGCGGUAAUCCAGCCCAAUGGGAGU